CCUACGGGUGGCAGCAGUGGGGAAUAUUGCACAAUGGGGGGAACCCUGAUGCAGCGACGCCGCGUGAGUGAAGAAGGACUUCGGGAUGUAAAGCUCUAUCAGCAGGGAAGAAAAGGACGGUACCUGACUAAGAAGCCCCGGCUAACUACGGGCCAGCAGCCGCGGGAAUACGUAGGGGGCAAGCGUUAUCCGGAUUUACUGGGGGUAAAGGGAGCGUAGACGGUUAUGCAAGUCUGAAGUGAAAGCCCAGGGCUCAACCAUGGGACUGCUUUGGAAACUGUAAAACUGGAGUGCAGGAGAGGUAAGCGGAAUUCCUGGUGUAGCGGUGAAAUGCGUAGAUAUUAGGAGGAACACCAGUGGCGAAGGCGGCUUACUGGACUGUAACUGACGUUGAGGCUCGAAGGCGUGGGGAGCAAACAGGAUUAGAUACCCGUGUAGUC
RNAcentral lists this ribosomal RNA (440 nucleotides) under uncultured bacterium. Its description in RNAcentral is "partial 16S ribosomal RNA". It matches the Rfam family "Bacterial small subunit ribosomal RNA", at positions 338 to 795 of the family's 1533-position model. The record is from RNAcentral.